Molecule: ribosomal RNA, 482 nt
Filed under: uncultured Pelotomaculum sp.
Lineage: Bacteria; Bacillati; Bacillota; Clostridia; Eubacteriales; Desulfotomaculaceae
Description: bacterial SSU rRNA
Rfam family: Bacterial small subunit ribosomal RNA
Source: RNAcentral
CAAAUGAAUUGACGGGGCCCGCACAAGCGGUGGAGCAUGUGGUUUAAUUCGACGCAACGCGAAGAACCUUACCAGGGCUUGACAUCCCCUGACCGCGUAUGAAAGUACGUUUUCACCCUCGGGUGACAGGGAGACAGGUGGUGCAUGGUUGUCGUCAGCUCGUGUCGUGAGAUGUUGGGUUAAGUCCCGCAACGAGCGCAACCCCUACGUUUAGUUGCUAACGCGUGAAGGCGAGCACUCUAGACGAACUGCCGUUGACAAAACGGAGGAAGGUGGGGAUGACGUCAAAUCAUCAUGCCCCUUAUGUUCUGGGCUACACACGUGCUACAAUGGCCGGUACAGACGGAGGCGAAGCCGCGAGGCGGAGCAAAUCCGAAAAAGCCGGUCUCAGUUCGGAUUGCAGGCUGCAAUUCGCCUGCAUGAAGUCGGAAUCGCUAGUAAUCGCAGGUCAGCAUACUGCGGUGAAUACGUUCCCGGGCCUU